Non-coding RNA from Python bivittatus (Burmese python), 1055 nucleotides. The record is from RefSeq and is a predicted model, not a curated record. NCBI's taxonomy places the organism in Eukaryota, Metazoa, Chordata, Lepidosauria, Squamata, Pythonidae.
ACUGGUUUAAACUCUCUAUCCACACCCCGUGGCCCCUGCCGUUAGAGUCAGCGCCGGUAUAUUUGCACCUCCAACGGGAGGGGGCCCCAUCCCUCUGAAAAACUCUCGCCGAGAGGGCCUUUGCUUUUGCGCCCUGGGCCUCGUCCGCCCCAGGCUCUUCCUCCAGAAGCGGAAGCCCUUUCUCAGGCCCGCCUCCAGGAGGGACGCGCCCGGCUCUCAGUCUUUCGACCCAAAGAGCGCAGUGCGAAAUUCCGAUCCGGCUCUGCCCUAGCAGGCCGCGACAGGCGGGUGGGCGGGCGGAGACGAGACGCAGCAUCUCCUCCCGCGGAGGCGGGAAAGGACGCGGGGGAGGAUGGAAGCCAGAGCCCGGAGGGGCAGACAGGCGGAGCCGCCGUGUAGGGAGAAGCGCCUCCUACCCACCUGGCCAGGCCAGAGUCAGAGUCAGUGCUGCCAGCGCCAGGAUCGCGAGGAGCCGCGAAGGGCGUCGUCGCGACAUGGCUCAGCGCGCAGGAGGACGAAGAAGCGUUGAGACCCGGAGUAUAUUAUACAUUCAUCAUCACUUCUCAUAGCACAACCAUCUGUGUCAGCAUGAUUUUUUUCCUAAUGUUCCUAGCUUGCUCAAAAGAAGUUGACACUAAAGAUUAAUAUUUUGUCCUGUGAAAAAGAAAUAGCAACAUUUCAUUGAACUAGAACAAGAAAUUCAGUAACUAUAAAAAGCAGGCAGUUUAUAUGCAAUAUAAUGGUGAAUUACAAGGAAGAAAGAGGAAUCGCUUCUAAGGGAAAAAUACGAAACUAACCUGAGUUUUCUCACUUACGUUGACAAUGGAAAGCUAAAGCAGGUAUAUUUGCUGAAGUAAUAGGGAGAACAUGUAAUUGAAAAGAUGAAGCAGAUCAGUACAGGACUUAAAAAUACAUUUAGAUGCACUGUUUGAAAUGGACAGAUGAGACUUCCUGUGAAUUAAUGGACCGUUCUUAUUAAGGAAAUGGCAUAAUCCAUAUCACACCACCAAAAACCAGGAAGAGCAAUAGGAUACCGGUCAGAGAACCUAUUAAAG